UACAGUCACUCAACUUCAAUUUUUUUUUCUUAAAAGCACUUCAGCUUCAAUUUGGUGAACAACAAAGUCAUUUUCACUAUUUUCUGUCCAAAGCUCUAACGAUUUGAUGACAUGGCAAUGCCACGUGGCAUUUUAAAAAGGAAAAAAAAAUCUCUUUCAUCCGUGUGGAAUUUUUAAUUCGAUAAAAUAAUUUUCUCUUCCAUGCAGAAGAGAUUUGUUAAUCUCACAUUAAACACCAAAUAUUCUCCUCUUCCAUAAACUCUCCAAUGACUCUCCAAACAUAUUGCUUUGCAUUUGCAUCUCCAUCCACCUAUCCAAUUUGGGUUAUAGGUUACAGCGAAGGUAAAAAAAAUUAUGCCAAAAAAGAAAUGGUAAUCAACUAAUCUCAAGAAGCGGUAAUUUUAAUUCAAUUUCAUUUCCAUUCAUUUUAACCAAAUUUAUUAAAGAAUUUCCGAUUAUUUAAAACAUUAUGUAAUAUUCAGUUCAAAAUAAACAAAAACUCUUCAGUUUUAAAGCAUUUGGGACAAUUCUAAGUUCUAAAACAUGGCUAAAACACAAAAUGUUUAAAGGGCAUUUCAACAAACAGCUCGUGCUAGUAGCAAAAUCAACAAAUUAGCCUAACAAUGGUCACUAAGUGCAUCUCAUUUCUCAUGAAUAAAAACUCAAGAAGAUCACACUUGUGCACCAUUAGUUUAAGAAAAAUCCAAUAAGAUUCAAAUAAGGAAACAAAUAAAGAUAGAAUAUCUUCUAUGAAGAAAAUACCAGGUACUUGGAGGAAAUACUGCAACAAAGAAGUAGCCCAAAUCCAAUAUAAUGACCAAAAUUAGGAGAGAGAAAAAGAGUUUAGAAACAAAAGGCUCUACAAAGGGGAGGGAGUGAGGAGAGAAAACAACAUCAGCCGAACUCAUUUCUAACUGACUCAAACACCUCCUCCUUGCUGGCAAAGCUCCAAGAGCUCUCUCUUGCCUUCAUCUUCACUAUUUCAACACCAGUGAACUCCCUUAAAUAAAAUUCACGAACUGGAGGAG
RNAcentral lists this unclassified non-coding RNA (1028 nucleotides) under Hevea brasiliensis (rubber tree). Lineage: Eukaryota; Viridiplantae; Streptophyta; Magnoliopsida; Malpighiales; Euphorbiaceae. The record is from RNAcentral.